CCUACGGGAGGCAGCAGUAGGGAAUCUUCCACAAUGGGCGAAAGCCUGAUGGAGCAACGCCGCGUGGGUGAAGAAGGUCUUCGGAUCGUUAAACCCUGUUGUUAGAGAAGAAAGUGCGUGAGAGUAACUGUUCACGUUUCGACGGUAUCUAACCAGAAAGCCACGGCUAACUACGUGCCAGCAGCCGCGGUAAUACGUAGGUGGCAAGCGUUAUCCGGAUUUAUUGGGCGUAAAGGGAACGCAGGCGGUCUUUUAAGUCUGAUGUGAAAGCCUUCGGCUUAACCGGAGUAGUGCAUUGGAAACUGGGAGACUUGAGUGCAGAAGAGGAGGGUGGAACUCCAAGUGUAGCGGUGAAAUGCGUAGAUAUAUGGAAGAACACCAGUGGCGAAAGCGGCUCUCUGGUCUGUAACUGACGCUGAGGUUCGAAAGCGUGGGUAGCAAACAGGAUUAGAUACCCCGGUAGUC
Molecule: ribosomal RNA, 465 nt
Filed under: uncultured bacterium
Lineage: Bacteria
Description: partial 16S ribosomal RNA
Rfam family: Bacterial small subunit ribosomal RNA
Source: RNAcentral